Molecule: long non-coding RNA, 734 nt
Filed under: Dasypus novemcinctus (nine-banded armadillo)
Lineage: Eukaryota; Metazoa; Chordata; Mammalia; Cingulata; Dasypodidae
Description: lncRNA (ENSDNOG00000052422.1)
Source: RNAcentral
GAUGCCAGCCCCGCCCCGGCCCACCUCUCUCUGCCAGCCCGGCACGGCGGCGGCGCCGGCGGCGAAGGGACUCGGGGGUCCCCGGGCGCAGCAUGAGGAGCGUGUGGCCGCUACACCCGGUGGCCGCCGCGCUGUCAGCGCUGGGGAUGUCGACCUACAAGCGGGCCACGCUGGACGAGGAGGACCUGGUGGACUCGCUCUCCGAAGGCGACGUGUACCCCAACGGACUGCAGGUAGGAGCCCCCCGCCGCCGCCCUCCGGGUGCCACAGACGCCCCAGGGCCGGGCGUGGGCGCUGUGGUGGCCCCUUCCCAUCGCACCAGCCUGGGGUCCUGGGGGUGUGAGUACCUCUGAGGUGCUACCCCCUCACCCCAGUCCGGAGCCCCCUGCUUCUGGGACAGCCCAGGUGGCAGAGUAGGUGCACCCUCCAGCCUGAUGUGGUGGGGUUCCCUUUCCACAGAAGAGGCAGCUCAGCCUGGCAGGGGGCAGCACACACGGCCCCACAGCCCCAUCCCUACAGAAUCCUUCAAACGCCAACCCAGCCAUCUCCCACCUGCCCUUCAAGGCACUCCCACUUUCUCUGGAAAUACGGUGACCAGCUGGUCCCAGUUUGCCCAGAACUUUCACACUUUUCUCACUGAAAGUCCUGCAUCCUAGGUCACCCCCUCAGUCCCUGGCAAACCAGGACAGGUGGCCACCUCUUACGGCUGGCAUUACCUCAUCCUUCUCUCCCCU